CCUCACCCAAAACAGAGUAAAAGCCAAAGUAAAGAUAAGAUGCUAUCAGGGUUUUUUAAAAACAGCUCCCCAAUGUCUACUCAAUGCAGCUCACUUGCACCACCCAACGUACACGUGGAUUACUGCAGGCAGGCUUUCAUGCCUCCCGGAAAGAGGCCUGUUUGCAGGACCAGACCUUGGGGUCCCACUUGAAACCCCCCUCCUCCCACAAAGGAAAACAGUACAGAAAAGAGGAAAGGGGACAUUAAUUUGCACAGGCUACUAGGUGAAAACGUAGAACUGAUGACCGAACAAACUCCAGGCCAGGGUAGCAGAGAUAUCCAAUGCUGUACCCCUGCCGUCUCAAGUUGCUGGCCUUCCGUGAAGCAGAACUGCCUGGUCACUCAGCACACACAGCUUGGAAGUUGCCCACAAGGGUCAUCUGCAGGCCACUCCAUUGUCCCCCCUGCCAGACAAAAGAGCAAAUCAGCAACAGACUCUUCCGCCCUCGCCUCUGAACCCGGUCAGCUGCCAGCUUCUAGGAUAACUUGCAGGAAGGAGGGAGCCAUCUUUGUUCACCUCUUCACAUCUUAUUUUGAACUCCACUGCCAUAUAUUCCGCUACCUGACAUCUCAGCUCUGGCAACUGCAGCUGCAACUUGUCACCUAAAACAACAGGCAUCCAUUCUAGUAGCCGUUGAUACGCCUGUCCUCCAUGAAUCUGUCCAACCCAUUCUUAAAGCCAUCCAGGCUGAUAUCCUUCCGCUUGUCGGUGCUGACUCUCCUGCCCAUCUGCUUCACAGAGAGCCCCCUGGUCCCAGUGUUGCGUAACAGAGAAAAGAAUUUAUCCACCUUUUCCCAAUGCGCAGGAUUUCACCUCCUUCGAUCAGUCCCCUCUUAAAUGCCAUCUUUCAAGGCUGAGGAGGCCUGGGUGUUGCCACCUGAUUUCAAGUGAUCCAGGUGCACUGCGCUUCUGCCCAUUAUGCCCGACUUCCCCACUCCCCUAAAGCCUGAGCCCACCGGCUCCUCCCUCUACACCUGGGGGC
This 1024-nucleotide long non-coding RNA is filed under the name Salvator merianae (Argentine black and white tegu). RNAcentral's name for it is "lncRNA (ENSSMRG00000002484.1)". The record is from RNAcentral. Lineage: Eukaryota; Metazoa; Chordata; Lepidosauria; Squamata; Teiidae.